AACGAACGCUGGCGGCAUGCCUAACACAUGCAAGUCGAACGAGACCUUCGGGUCUAGUGGCGCACGGGUGCGUAACGCGUGGGAACCUGCCCUUAGGUUCGGAAUAACUCCCCGAAAGGGGUGCUAAUACCGGAUAAUGUCUUCGGACCAAUGAUUUAUCGCCUUUGGAUGGGCCCGCGUUGGAUUAGCUAGUUGGUAGGGUAAAAGCCUACCAAGGCGACGAUCCAUAGCUGGUCUGAGAGGAUGAUCAGCCACACUGGGACUGAGACACGGCCCAGACUCCUACGGGAGGCAGCAGUGGGGAAUAUUGGACAAUGGGCGAAAGCAUGAUCCAGCAAUGCCGCGUGAGUGAUGAAGGCCUUAGGGUUGUAAAGCUCUUUUACCCGGGAUGAUAAUGACAGUACCGGGAGAAUAAGCUCCGGCUAACUCCGUG
Molecule: ribosomal RNA, 433 nt
Filed under: uncultured bacterium
Lineage: Bacteria
Description: partial 16S ribosomal RNA
Rfam family: Bacterial small subunit ribosomal RNA
Source: RNAcentral